GUAUCUGACUCAGGACCUGAUUUAAGGUUUGGGGUUUUUUGGCCCUUUGUUUCUUCCUCUUGUUUUUUGACCUUUAGUUACUCCACACCUCAUUAGUUCCUUGACCUGCAGGUGGACUGAGAAGAGAGCCAUGGUAGCAGGCAAGAGUGUGGUUAUCGUUGGACCAGGAUUCAGGAUCUGACUGAGUAGCUGACUCUUAAUCCAGUUUGUGUUGAUCACCAGGAGGAUCUGGACCUCAGUAUUACCACAUCUAGAGGUGAUAUGCCAACUCCACCUUUGCCUUCCACCAUGUUUGGAAGCUCCCUGAGGCCUCACCAGGAGCAGAUGCUCGUCCCAUGCUUCCUAUAAGCCUGCAGAACUGGAAAAGAAAGCUGGAUAAAGUAUUUAUAGAAGAUAGAGGACCUGUGGUGGCUCAUGCCUGUAAUCCAAGGUGGAAGGAUUGCUUGAGGCCAGAAGUUCAAGACCAGUCCAAGCAACAUAGCAAGGCCCCAUCUCUACAAAAAAUGAAAAUAAAAUUAGCCGAGCGUGAUGGCUCAUGCCUGUAGUUCUAGCUUCUAGAGAGGCUGAGGCAGGAGGAUUGCUUGAGUCCAGGAGUUCAAGAUUACAGUGAGCUAUGGUCACACCACUGCACUCCAGCCUGGGUGAUGGAGUGAGACUGUCUCAAUAAAAAGACAAAAAGGCUGGCCAGGGGCAGUGGUUCAUGCCUGUAAACCCAGCACUUUGGGAGGCAAAGGCAGGAGGAUUGCUUAAGCCCAGGAAUUUGAGAUCAGCCUGGACAACAUGGUGAGACCCCCAUCUCUACAAAAAUUUUUUUUAAAAGUUACCCAGGCAUGGUGUUGCACAUCUGUGUUCCCAGCUACUGGGGAGGCUGAGACGGGAGGAUCACUUGAGUCCAGGAAGUUGAGAGGUUGAGGCUGCUGUGAGCUGUGAUUGUGCCACUGCACUUUAGCCUGGACAACAGAGGGAGACCCUGUCAACAACAACAACAACAACAAAAAAGCAAAACAUCAUAGGCUGCAGAAAUAAACUUUCUUGUCAAUUGUGUCUUUAACCAUGACCAUUUUGAGUCAUUUCCACAGUGAGUUGCCUAAUUUUGAUGCAUUUCUGAAAACUCUUUAUAAGCAAGUAAAAUCCUAGAGAAUUGUGCCUUCAAGGAGACUCAUGGAAAGGAUGGAAAGAACUCUUGAAUACAUGUUUCUGAUAGCUUUAUGAUCAUAUCAUUUGGACUGGGUAAGAAUUCCCAGAACUCAUGAAGAGACUGACUAUUUAUUAAUCCAAGCAGGAAAAGAAUUAAUUGAAUACCAAGGAAAUACUGUGCCAGAGAUUUUCAUGCUAAAUCAGUCAGCACCGAAAUCGUUAAGAUGUGUAGUUUGAAUGAACUCCAUGAUCCUAGUCAAAUUUCCUAUGAUGACCCAUUUAAUAAACAGUGCUAUGCACCUGAAUUGGAGAAACAGAAUUGAUACUUAAAUCCAAUGUUAAUCAUAGAUUCAUGGAAAGCCUAAAUGGCUGCUUGGGUCUUCCUGAGCCCUUAAAGCUUCCAUUAUUAAAGGCUCUGCACUUUAUAAGUUAUCACUGAAGAGAGAAAAUGAUCCAGAUUUAAAAUACACAUAUUGGUGUGGUGAAUGUUCUAAAUUGCGAAAAUGGUUUAUGACCAACAUUUGGUUUGUCAUGCUCACAAUCCUGGAAAUACAUUCAAAACUUCAGGUACAUUUCUGCUACCUGAUGGGCUAUUUGAAUAUAUAGAGAGGGAUUUCAUUCAAUUGCCAUUUUCAUUGCAUGUUUUUUGGUUGUAUAGAAGCUUUCCCAUGCAAGGAGGCUGAUGCUGUUAUUACAGUAGCUAAAAGGUUAGUAGGAAAUGUGUUUUCCCCCAUGGGGCAUUCCUGGAGAAAUCUCUAGCAAUAAAGGUACUUGUUUGACUGGACAAGUUGUAAAACAGUUUAAUAAGGUUUUUUUUAGGUGUCAUAGCAUUAGGCAAAGCUAACUGAAUUGACUGGAUUGUCAUAGUCAAACAUAUUGCAGAUCCGCUUCCAAUAGAAGACAAUGAAAUAGUCACUGGAAAGCCUGUGCUCCUAAUUUUAGAACCUCAUGUAUCUUCUGCUCCUAAACUCUGAUAGGACUAAAUGCUGUGAGGCCUCAAUGCAUUAUGUUAAUGUGUAUUUUCACCAGGUCAAGGAAGCUUUUCCUGAUCCACUAACUAAGGACAAUCAAACCCUUCAUGAUCUAGAAUCUGGAGACUGUGUCUUCUGGGAAUAGUAUCAGAGAAAGACUGCCCUUACUGCCCACAUGUAGCAAAACUUUGAGACGUUGAAUUAUGGGUCCAUAAUCUCACAACUCAGAGGGGCACCUCUAGACUCUUGGAACUGUAUAUCUAUUGGAGACUUUAAGGUAAAGCUGAACAGAGAGACGUUUUUCUCCAGAAGCAGACAGCACCAUAGUCAUGGACAGCUUUCCCAAGAUCACAGAUCAAGACUUCUCUGCCGUCAUGAGACUCAUAACCUCUUAAUUUUUUCUUGCUUAUGCUUCUGUGAACAAUAGAAUUGGAAAAGGGGUGGUCCCGCGUGCACCCAUAGGGUAUACUUUUAUUUGUGGAGGAUUUUGCUGCCAACCUUAUACAUGGGCAAACUUAUGCCUUCAUGGAUGGAAGAUAAAGGGCUAAUAUGGGUUAGAAAUUUUAAUGGUACCUUUGUUUCUCCAUAAUCAUUCAGAAACAGAACACUGGUCCACUCUUGUUAACCUACAUCAUAGGUUGAAGAGAACAUUGCCAGGAGGCCUUCAUCCUUCCAGAUGGGCACCAUUUGUUGGGUCUUUUUCCGUGGUAUGAAGAAAAUGAAGCAAUGAUUAGAAAUUGGUCCCUCGGCCGGGCACAAUGGCUCAUGCCUGUAAUCCCAUCACUUUGGCAGGCCGAGGCGGGUGGAUCACCUGAGGUCAGGAGUUUGAGACCAGCCUGACCAAUGUGGUGAAACGCCAUCUCUACUAAAAAUACAAAAAUUAGCUGGGUGUGAUGGUGCACACCUGUAAUCCAGCUACUCGGGAGGCUGAGACAGGAGAAUUGCUUGAACCUGGGAGGCAGAGGUUGCAGUGAGCCAAGAUCACCCCACUGCAUUCCAGGUUGGGCAACAGAGCAAGACUCUGUCUCAAAAAAAAAAGAAGAAAGAAAGAAAUUGAUCCCUCAUAAUAGGCUGUAUAGCAGAUUCUACUGCAAAGGCUAUGGUUGCACAACAGACUUCUUUGAAUUUGCUUGCUAAACUUUUACUGGAUAAUACUGGGAUUACAGGUGUGAGCCACUGUGCCCAGCCUCUCCUGUUUAACUGUAUUCAUUCUAAUGUUUACUUACUUCUUUAAUUUGUAAAAUUGGGUCACUUAGAGUUUUUUUAGCCUAUCUUGCCAUUUAGCCACUGUUACUGAUAAUUUGGAUGGAAAAGAAAAAUAAAUUAUAUCACCUCUCA
Molecule: long non-coding RNA, 3446 nt
Filed under: Homo sapiens (human)
Lineage: Eukaryota; Metazoa; Chordata; Mammalia; Primates; Hominidae
Description: PREDICTED lncRNA (TCONS_00060964)
Source: RNAcentral